RNAcentral lists this ribosomal RNA (478 nucleotides) under uncultured bacterium. RNAcentral describes it as "partial 16S ribosomal RNA". It matches the Rfam family "Bacterial small subunit ribosomal RNA", at positions 28 to 523 of the family's 1533-position model. The record is from RNAcentral.
GACGAACGCUGGCGGCGUGCUUAACACAUGCAAGUCGAACGGUAAGGCCCUUCGGGGUACACGAGUGGCGAACGGGUGAGUAACACGUGGGUGAUCUGCCCUGCACUUCGGGAUAAGCCUGGGAGACUGAGUCUAAUAACGGAUAGGACCACUGCCUGCAUGGGGGGUGGUGGAAAGCUUUUGCGGUGUGGGAUGGGCCCGCGGCCUAUCAGCUUGUUGGUGGGGUGAUGGCCUACCAGGGCGACGACGGGCAGCCGGCCUGAGAGGGUGACCGGCCACACUGGGACUGAGAUACGGCCCAGACUCCUACGGGAGGCAGCAGUGGGGAAUAUUGCACAAUGGGCGCAAGCCUGAUGCAGCGACGCCGCGUGAGGGAUGACGGCCUUCGGGUUGUAAACCUCUUUCAGCACCGACGAAGCGCAAGUGACGGUAGGUGCAGAAGAAGGACCGGCCAACUACGUGCCAGCAGCCGCGGUAA